Molecule: ribosomal RNA, 1751 nt
Filed under: Gamsomyces longisporus
Lineage: Eukaryota; Fungi; Ascomycota; Eurotiomycetes; Sclerococcales
Description: Bactrodesmium longisporum partial large subunit ribosomal RNA
Rfam family: Eukaryotic large subunit ribosomal RNA
Source: RNAcentral
AUAUCAAUAAGCGGAGGAAAAGAAACCAACAGGGAUUGCCUCAGUAACGGCGAGUGAAGCGGCAAAAGCUCAAAUUUGAAAUCUGACCUUUGGUCCGAGUUGUAAUUUGUAGAGGAUGUUUCGGGCAAGAUCCGGGCUUAAGUUCCUUGGAACAGGACGUCAUAGAGGGUGAGAAUCCCGUACGUGGUCCAGGGUCGCGCCCAUGUGAAACUCCUUCGACGAGUCGAGUUGUUUGGGAAUGCAGCUCAAAAUGGGUGGUAAAUUUCAUCUAAAGCUAAAUAUUGGCCAGAGACCGAUAGCGCACAAGUAGAGUGAUCGAAAGAUGAAAAGCACUUUGAAAAGAGAGUUAAACAGCAUGUGAAAUUGUUGAAAGGGAAGCGCUUGUGACCAGACUUGUUUGUAGGGUUCAGCCGUCGUUCUCGUCGGUGUAUUUCCCUAUCUACAGGCCAGCAUCAGUUCGGACGGAAGGUUAAAGGCCUUGGGAAUGUAGCAUCUUCCGGGAUGUCUUAUAGCCCUCGGUGUAAUGCUUCCUGCCCGGACUGAGGAACGCGCUUCGGCUCGGAUGCUGGCGUAAUGGUUCUAAGCGACCCGUCUUGAAACACGGACCAAGGAGUCUAACAUCUAUGCGAGUAUUUGGGUGUCAAACCCAUAUGCGUAAUGAAAGUGAACGGAGGUGGGAAUCUUCGGAUGCACCAUCGACCGAUCCUGAUGUCUUCGGAUGGAUUUGAGUAAGAGCAUAGCUGUUGGGACCCGAAAGAUGGUGAACUAUGCCUGAAUAGGGUGAAGCCAGAGGAAACUCUGGUGGAGGCUCGCAGCGGUUCUGACGUGCAAAUCGAUCGUCAAAUUUGGGCAUAGGGGCGAAAGACUAAUCGAACUAUCUGGUAGCUGGUUCCUGCCGAAGUUUCCCUCAGGAUAGCAGUAACGUUUUCAGUUUUAUGAGGUAAAGCGAAUGAUUAGAGGCCUUGGGGUUGAAACAACCUUAACCUAUUCUCAAACUUUAAAUAUGUAAGAAGCCCUUGUUGCUUAAUUGAACGUGGGCAUUUGAAUGUAUCGUUACUAGUGGGCCAUUUUUGGUAAGCAGAACUGGCGAUGCGGGAUGAACCGAACGUGAAGUUAAGGUGCCGGAAUAUACGCUCAUCAGACACCACAAAACGUGUUAAUUCAUCUGGACAGCCGGACGGUGGCCAUGGAAGUCGGAAUCCGCUAAGGAACGUGUAACAACGCACCGGCCGAAUGAAUUAGCCGUGAAAAUGGAUGGCGCUCAAGCGUAUUACCUAUACUUCGCCGUUAGGGUAGAAAUGAUGCCCUAACGAGUAGGCAGGCGUGGAGGUCCGUGACGAAGCCUUAGGGGUGACCCUGGGUCGAACGGCCUCUAGUGCAGAUCUUGGUGGCAGUGAGUGGCACCCCAAUCCCUUAUUAUUAUGAAAAUACUAACCGUCAUUUUUAGGUAGCAAAUACUCAAAUGAGAACUUUGAGGACUGAAGUGGGGAAAGGUUCCAUGUGAACAGCAGUUGGACAUGGGUUAGUCGAUCCUAAGCCAUAGGGUAGUUCCGUUUGAAAGCAUGCACUUGUGCAUCCAUGGCGAAAGGGAAGCCGGUUAAUAUUCCGGCACCUGGAUGUGGAUUCUCCACGGCAACGUAACUGAAAGAGGAGACGAUGGCCGGGGCCCUGGGAAGAGUUCUCUUUUCUUCUUAACGACCUAUCCCCCUGAAAUCGGUUUGUCCGGAGCUAGGGUUUAACGGUCGGCAGAG